UUUGGUGGCGAUAGCGAAGAGGUCACACCCGUUCCCAUGCCGAACACGGAAGUUAAGCUCUUCAGCGCCAUGGUAGUCGGGGGUUUCCCCCUGUGAGAGUAGGACGCCGCCAAGC
RNAcentral lists this ribosomal RNA (115 nucleotides) under Bacillus amyloliquefaciens. Lineage: Bacteria; Bacillati; Bacillota; Bacilli; Caryophanales; Bacillaceae. The record is from RNAcentral.